GGAAUAUUGGACAAUGGGGGAAACCCUGAUCCAGCAACGCCGCGUGGAGGAUGAAGGCCUUCGGGUUGUAAACUCCUGUCAGGUGGAGCGAAAAGCGCCGGUAAAUAGCCGGUGUCUAUGACGGUACCACCAGAGGAAGCCCCGGCUAACUCCGUGCCAGCAGCCGCGGUAAUACGGAGGUGGCAAGCGUUCUUCGGAAUUAUUGGGCGUAAAGGGCGCGUAGGCGGCCAAGCAAGUCAGGGGUGAAAUCCCUCGGCUCAACCGAGGAACUGCCUCUGAAACUGCUUGGCUUGAGACCGGGAGAGGGUGGUGGAAUUCCUAGUGUAGCGGUGAAAUGCGUAGAUAUUAGGAGGAACACCAGUGGCGAAGGCGACCACCUGGACCGGAUCUGACGCUGAGGCGCGAAAGUGUGGGGAGCAAAC
RNAcentral lists this ribosomal RNA (422 nucleotides) under uncultured bacterium. Its description in RNAcentral is "bacterial SSU rRNA". It matches the Rfam family "Bacterial small subunit ribosomal RNA", at positions 358 to 773 of the family's 1533-position model. The record is from RNAcentral.